AUGUAUCAUAGCUCUUUAGCUAUCGGGGUAUAUGGUUGCUAAGUUGAAGAUUUCCAUCAUUUGGUAUCAGAGCUCGGCUCAAGUUUGAGGUUUGCGUAUCUAUUUAUUUGCUAUCUUUUAGAUUUUUUUUCUUUUCUCUUCUUCUUCUGUUUGGCCAAUAUCUAUAAUUAUUGUUCUUCUUUCAUCUUCAUUGUUGUGCUUCUUGCAUUAUUACUAUUCUUAUUUGUAAUUCCAUACUUUAUGGUAUAAAAAAAAAAGAUGAAAAAGUCAAAAAAAAAAAAGAAGAGAGAAAAUCAAAGGCUAAAAAAAAAGAGAGGGAAAAUCAAAGGUAAAAAAAAAAAAAAGAGACCAGAUGAGCUUGCGACGAUCCACUUGGCGAGUUCCGAUGAGCUUCUUUGGCAAGCUCCUGGACUUCUCGGAUUUGUUCCCGCAGAACCUCCGACGACUGUCCGAACUUUCGUAAAACUCUCGAACUCCCAACGUGAUCAUUGUCUUGACUCCGGCGUAACUCCUGCUGCAUGUCUUUCUUCCAUCGUAGUUAAUCCUGCACA
RNAcentral lists this long non-coding RNA (551 nucleotides) under Musa acuminata (dwarf banana). Its description in RNAcentral is "long non-coding RNA (MACU_LNC010401)". The record is from RNAcentral. Lineage: Eukaryota; Viridiplantae; Streptophyta; Magnoliopsida; Zingiberales; Musaceae.